UGGGGAAUAUUGGACAAUGGGGGCAACCCUGAUCCAGCCAUGCCGCGUGAGUGAUGAAGGCCUUAGGGUUGUAAAGCUCUUUCGCCGGUGAAGAUAAUGACGGUAACCGGUAAAGAAGCCCCGGCUAACUUCGUGCCAGCAGCCGCGGUAAUACGAAGGGGGCUAGCGUUGUUCGGAAUUACUGGGCGUAAAGCGCGCGUAGGCGGACUAUUAAGUCAGGGGUGAAAUCCCGGGGCUCAACCUCGGAAUUGCCUUUGAUACUGGUAGUCUAGAGUCCGUGAGAGGUGAGUGGAACUCCGAGUGUAGAGGUGAAAUUCGUAGAUAUUCGGAAGAACACCAGUGGCGAAGGCGGCUCACUGGCACGGUACUGACGCUGAGGUGCGAAAGCGUGGGGAGCAAACAGGAUUAGAUACCCCCGUAGUCC
RNAcentral lists this ribosomal RNA (424 nucleotides) under uncultured prokaryote. RNAcentral's name for it is "bacterial SSU rRNA". It matches the Rfam family "Bacterial small subunit ribosomal RNA", at positions 355 to 796 of the family's 1533-position model. The record is from RNAcentral.